CCUACGGGGGGCUGCAGUGGGGAAUAUUGGACAAUGGGGGGAACCCUGAUCCAGCCAUGCCGCGUGUGUGAAGAAGGCCCUCGGGUUGUAAAGCACUUUCAGUGAGGAAGAACGCCUGGUGGUUAAUACCCAUCAGGAAAGACAUCACUCACAGAAGAAGCACCGGCUAACUCCGUGCCAGCAGCCGCGGUAAUACGGAGGGUGCGAGCGUUAAUCGGAAUUACUGGGCGUAAAGCGCGCGUAGGUGGCUUGAUAAGCCGGUUGUGAAAGCCCCGGGCUCAACCUGGGAACGGCAUCCGGAACUGUCAAGCUAGAGUGCAGGAGAGGAAGGUAGAAUUCCCGGUGUAGCGGUGAAAUGCGUAGAGAUCGGGAGGAAUACCAGUGGCGAAGGCGGCCUUCUGGACUGACACUGUCACUGAGGUGCGAAAGCGUGGGUAGCAAACAGGAUUAGAUACCCUUGUAGUC
RNAcentral lists this ribosomal RNA (465 nucleotides) under Vreelandella stevensii. Its description in RNAcentral is "partial 16S ribosomal RNA". It matches the Rfam family "Bacterial small subunit ribosomal RNA", at positions 338 to 795 of the family's 1533-position model. Lineage: Bacteria; Pseudomonadati; Pseudomonadota; Gammaproteobacteria; Oceanospirillales; Halomonadaceae. The record is from RNAcentral.